CCUACGGGUGGCAGCAGUGAGGAAUAUUGGUCAAUGGCCGGAAGGCUGAACCAGCCAAGCCGCGUGAAGGACGAAGGUGCCAAGCAUUGUAAACUUCUUUUGUCAAGGGACAAAAUCAGGCUCGAGAGCCUGACCGAGGGUACUUGAAGAAAAAGCAUCGGUUAACUCCGUGCCAGCAGCCGCGGUAAUACGGAGGAUGCGAGCGUUAUCCGAAUUAAUUGGGUUAAACGGUUACGUCGGCGGACUGUUAAGUCAGGGUUAAACGCCCGGGGCUCACCCCCGGCGAGCCGUUGAAACUGGCUGUCUUGAGAUGUCGAGAGGUAUGCGGAAUGCGCAGUGUAGCGGUGAAAUGCUUAGAUAUUGCGCAGAACACCGAUUGCGAAGGCAGCAAACCGGCGGCGAUCUGACGCUGAGGCACGAAAGCGUGGGUAUCGAACAGGAUUAGAUACCCGGGUAGUC
This 459-nucleotide ribosomal RNA is filed under the name uncultured bacterium. Its description in RNAcentral is "partial 16S ribosomal RNA". It matches the Rfam family "Bacterial small subunit ribosomal RNA", at positions 338 to 795 of the family's 1533-position model. The record is from RNAcentral.